GUUUUUGUAGUUGAAUAACAACGGUGGUUUUUCAAGCCAUCAGUCUUGGUUAAAGUCCGGGCAAAAAUU
This 69-nucleotide transfer RNA is filed under the name Miichthys miiuy (Mi-iuy croaker). RNAcentral describes it as "tRNA-Glu". It matches the Rfam family "tRNA". From Rfam's summary of the family: Transfer RNA (tRNA) molecules are approximately 80 nucleotides in length. The record is from RNAcentral. Lineage: Eukaryota; Metazoa; Chordata; Actinopteri; Sciaenidae.